UCCGAGUUGGCCCCGGCAGUCUCCUACGAGUCCCCGGCAUUACCCGCUGGCAACAUAGGACAAGGGUUGCGCUCGUUGCGGGACUUAACCCAACACCUCACGGCACGAGCUGACGACAGCCAUGCAGCACCUGAACCAGCGGUCCCCGAAGGGAAAGUCCUAUUUCUAGGAAGGUCCGCUGUUGUCUAGUCCAGGUAAGGUUCUUCGCGUUGCGUCGAAUUGAACCACAUGCUCCACCGCUUGUGCAGGCCCCCGUCAAUUUCUUUGAGUUUUAACCUUGCGGCCGUACUCCCCAGGCGGAGAACUUAAUGCGUUAGCUGCGCCACCAAAACCCUAAGGGCCCCGACAGCUAGUUAUCAUCGUUUACGGCGUGGACUAC
RNAcentral lists this unclassified non-coding RNA (379 nucleotides) under uncultured bacterium. RNAcentral's name for it is "contains 16S-23S intergenic spacer region". The record is from RNAcentral.